Populus trichocarpa (black cottonwood) is the source of this 670-nucleotide long non-coding RNA. RefSeq lists it as uncharacterized. Lineage: Eukaryota; Viridiplantae; Streptophyta; Magnoliopsida; Malpighiales; Salicaceae. The transcript is spliced from 2 exons. The record is from RefSeq and is a predicted model, not a curated record.
UGCAAAAGUCCAGAAGAAGGGUAGGUCCAUAUGUUUCGCGGUUAGAACGUUUGGUCACUGAAAAACCAAAAACACAUGAUUCUGAUACAAAAAAUCUCUCACACACGACUACAAAAUUACCUUCUCUUUCCCUAGAUUCAUAUUUGGCUGUGCUUCAGAUUUCUUGGGUAAUUCCUAUCGAAUGUUUUCAAAUUUUCAUUCUCCUUCCUCAGAUUUGUGCUCCUAGCUUGCUAAGUGGGAUGGAGAAAUGUUAUUGAGAGCCGUUGUUAUGCAUGUUGUUGUACUUCUAGCUGGAUCAGGUGAGAGAUUCCAUGCUUCUAGUACUCUUGUGGUUCAGGAUCAAGCUAGAUCAUGACUAUUUAACACACCAUCUUUCUCACCGAAAGCUGCCAUGGAAUAUGCGACUUCAGCUUCCGAAAUGCUGCUAUGAUGAAUAGCCUGUGAAGAAGAAAUCAUAGGUUCACCAGAUGGUCCAAUAAUCUUAGGCUGCUGUAACUGUUGUUGUUGUUGUUGAUACACAAAUACAUUUUCAUUGAUCAGAGAAUCCAGAAACAAAGAGAACGUGUCCUCAUUUUCAUUUCCAAUGUAAUCUUCCUCUUUGUUUUGUUCAUGAUGACUUUGUAACCCCUUAUUAAAACCAUCACAACUAGGCCAGUUUUUGGCACCAUCA